Molecule: ribosomal RNA, 478 nt
Filed under: uncultured bacterium
Lineage: Bacteria
Description: partial 16S ribosomal RNA
Rfam family: Bacterial small subunit ribosomal RNA
Source: RNAcentral
GACGAACGCUGGCGGCGUGCUUAACACAUGCAAGUCGAACGGUAAGGCCCUUCGGGGUACACGAGUGGCGAACGGGUGAGUAACACGUGGGUGAUCUGCCCUGCACUUCGGGAUAAGCCUGGGAACCUGGGUCUAAUACCGGAUAGGACCACUGCCUGCAUGGGUGGUGGUGGAAAGCCGUUGCGGUGUGGGAUGGGCCCGCGGCCUAUCAGCUUGUUGGUUGGGGGAUGGCCUACCAAGGCGACGACGGGUAGCCGGCCUGAGAGGGUGACCGGCCACACUGGGACUGAGAUACGGCCCAGACUCCUACGGGAGGCAGCAGUGGGGAAUAUUGCACAAUGGGCGCAAGCCUGAUGCAGCGACGCCGCGUGAGGGAUGACGGCCUUCGGGUUGUAAACCUCUUUCAGCACCGACGAAGCGCAAGUGACGGUAGGUGCAGAAGAAGGACCGGCCAACUACGUGCCAGCCGCCGCCGUAA